This is a long non-coding RNA of Oncorhynchus masou masou (cherry salmon), 139 nucleotides long. RefSeq lists it as uncharacterized. The record is from RefSeq and is a predicted model, not a curated record. NCBI's taxonomy places the organism in Eukaryota, Metazoa, Chordata, Actinopteri, Salmoniformes, Salmonidae. The transcript has 3 exons.
CAGGAUCCGCAUUGUCCACUUUAUCCUGAGUCAUGUCUUCCUGAAUACAGGAGAGAACCUGUUUGAACUCUUGAAGAAGAAAGUGUUCGAAGCAAAGUUCUGCCUGCAUGAGAGAAAAACUCAGAAGGAACUGAGGAAA